Molecule: long non-coding RNA, 332 nt
Filed under: Fragaria vesca (wild strawberry)
Lineage: Eukaryota; Viridiplantae; Streptophyta; Magnoliopsida; Rosales; Rosaceae
Description: long non-coding RNA (FVES_LNC002137)
Source: RNAcentral
GAUGGUUCUGAUUUUGUUGAGUUCUUGGACUGUGAGAGGGUCGAGAGGGUGGUGGGGCGUGUCGGAGGCGUGGUCGCGGAGGCGCGUGGGACUGUUGCGGCGGUUCUUGAGGUGAGUUGGUUGCUUGGAUUGGAAGCGGUUCUUGGAGGUGCACCAUGCAGAGUUGGUGGCGCAGUCGAGGAGGUCCGGCCCGGAAGGGAGGUGAGACCAAGUGAAGAGGAGGCCGAGGGCGAAAAAGAGGGAGAGAAAGAUGAGGCGGAAGAAGUUUGGGGUUUCCAUAUGGUGGAGUCACUGUUUCAGAGCUUCGAGUGUGUUUUUGAGUGGUGAUCGUA